RNAcentral lists this ribosomal RNA (208 nucleotides) under uncultured bacterium. RNAcentral's name for it is "partial 16S ribosomal RNA". It matches the Rfam family "Bacterial small subunit ribosomal RNA", at positions 568 to 774 of the family's 1533-position model. The record is from RNAcentral.
UGUGUAGGUGGCCAUGUAAGUCAGGUGUGAAAGCCCCGGGCUCAACCCGGGAAGUGCACUUGAUACUGCGUGGCUUGAGUACCGAAGAGGGUAGUGGAAUUCCAGGUGUAGUGGUGAAAUACGUAGAUAUCUGGAGGAACACCGGUGGCGAAGGCGGCUACCUGGUCGAGUACUGACACUGAGACACGAAAGCAUGGGGAAUCAAACA